RNAcentral lists this transfer RNA (38 nucleotides) under Leposoma sp. RNAcentral's name for it is "partial tRNA-Ser". The record is from RNAcentral. Lineage: Eukaryota; Metazoa; Chordata; Lepidosauria; Squamata; Gymnophthalmidae.
AGGGCUGUAAUACGUGUUGCUAACACGCUACCCCCAGG